Non-coding RNA from Caenorhabditis elegans, 128 nucleotides. NCBI's taxonomy places the organism in Eukaryota, Metazoa, Nematoda, Chromadorea, Rhabditida, Rhabditidae. The record is from Ensembl.
AUAGACGACGUUCGCUAUCUUCUUCCCGCAUGUCGUGACUAAUGUCCCGUUGGCUUGUACAUGUUGAAUAUAAUUUCACACACACACACACACACACACACAGCGUGACGCAUAAGUUAGUGUUGUUU